GGCCUCUUCGUCUAGUGGUUAGGACGUCAGGUUCUCAUCCUGAAAACGGGGGUUCGAUUCCCCCAGGGGCUGCCA
Molecule: transfer RNA, 75 nt
Filed under: Patescibacteria group bacterium
Lineage: Bacteria
Also listed under: 3 other names
Description: tRNA-Glu
Rfam family: tRNA
About the family: Transfer RNA (tRNA) molecules are approximately 80 nucleotides in length. Their secondary structure includes four short double-helical elements and three loops (D, anti-codon, and T loops).
Source: RNAcentral